CUCCAGAAUUCAUAUGCUUGUCCCGAAGAUUCAAGCCAUGCAUGCCUAGGAAAAUCCGGCCCUGCAGGGGGCAACCCCUCAGGCCUGGUGAAUCAGCGAACGGCUCCGUAUAUCUGUUGUUACCUAUCGGUGGUAAAUGGGGCGUGGAUAUGCAUGGAAAAGCUGUGUAUAAUACAAGCAACACGGGGCAGCCUCCACCACCUGGCACCGGCUGGGGGGGUAAGUAGGGGCCUUUUCCAUGGGUCCCAGCCUCAUUAAUAGCUCUCAAAGUACCUUGGCCGCUGCGCCGCACUCGCCUGCGGGGCCUUUGGGCCCGGGGCCUGUGCGGCCAGGGUAUGUCGUUGAGUCGACCGGACAAGGGAAACGGAGGCCUCUGUAGCGCGGCGAGCACUCCAGCCUCUCAGAGCCGCCCAGCGCGCCUCGGCGAGGUCCGGCAUGCCUGCUUUUAAACAGAGACUAACCACAAGCGCCCGAUGGGCUUCAGACCUAUCAGCUAGAUGGUAAGGUAUUGGCCUACCAUGGCUAUGACGGGUACAGAGGAUUAGGGUUUGAUCCUGGAGAGGUAGCCUGAGAAAUCGCUCCCACUUCUAAGGAAGGCAGCAGGCGCGCAACGUUCCCAAUGCUAGGCUCCCCUAGUGAGGACGUGAUGAGACAUAACUAUCCGCCUGAGGA
This 672-nucleotide ribosomal RNA is filed under the name Lycogala sp. RNAcentral describes it as "partial small subunit ribosomal RNA". It matches the Rfam family "Eukaryotic small subunit ribosomal RNA", at positions 14 to 495 of the family's 1831-position model. Lineage: Eukaryota; Evosea; Eumycetozoa; Liceales; Enteridiidae. The record is from RNAcentral.